UUUUCAUCGACCCGUCUUGUAACACGGACCAAGGAGUCUGGCAGGUCUGCGAGUCAGUGUGCGGCGAGCCACACGGGCGUAAGAAACCUGACCAGGGGUUGGACACAUGGACCAUGCCGAACUGAGGCACGGUCCAUGUGUCCAACCUUGACCGGUCGCCCUAUACGCGGAGCCUUAUUACCGCUGAUGCAUCCCGGUAUAGCCAUACCGGGCUCGCUGCGGAAGUGCGCAGUCAUGCGUUUGAGAGCUUCGCGUCUGAGCGAUCCGGUGGAGCAGGCCUCCCAGGACCCGAAAGGUGGUGAUCUAGGCCUGGGCAGGGCGAAGCCUGGCUAACGCUUGGUGGAGGCCCGAAGGAGUGCUGACGUGCAAAUCGCUUCUCUGACCUGGGCCUAGUGGCGAAAGACCAAUCGAACCACCUAGUAGCUGGUUCCCUCCGAAGUUUCUCACAGGAUAGCUGAGACUCGAUCGGGUGUGUCAAGUAAAGCGACUGAUUACGAGUGACGGGCGUGGAUAGAUGUUCGACUCGUUCUCAAACUCUGAAUUGGCACGGCGCCUCCUUGCUUGGAUGAAGGGGUAAGCGCGACCGAGAGUCUCAAGUGGGCCAGUUUUGGUAAGCAGAGCUGGCGAUGCGGGAUGAACCGAGUGUCGAGUUAAAGUGUCCAACUACACGCUCACCUAGAUCCCAGGAAGGGUGUCAGCUGAUACUGACAGCGGGGCGGUGGUCAUAGAAGUCGAAAUCCGCUAAGGAGUGAGUAACAACUCACCUGCCGAAUC
Molecule: ribosomal RNA, 774 nt
Filed under: Bigelowiella natans
Lineage: Eukaryota; Cercozoa; Chlorarachniophyceae
Description: partial Eukaryotic large subunit ribosomal RNA
Rfam family: Eukaryotic large subunit ribosomal RNA
Source: RNAcentral